RNAcentral lists this unclassified non-coding RNA (341 nucleotides) under uncultured Russula. Its description in RNAcentral is "sequence contains ITS2". The record is from RNAcentral. Lineage: Eukaryota; Fungi; Basidiomycota; Agaricomycetes; Russulales; Russulaceae.
AACGCACCUUGCGCCCCUUGGCAUUCCGAGGGGCACACCCGUUUGAGUGUCGUGAAAUCAUCAAAACCCUUUUCUUUUGGAAAGGGAUUUUGGACUUGGAGGUUUGAUGCUUGCUUUCACGCUCGAAAGUGAGCUCCUCUCAAAUGAAUCAGUGGGGUUUGCUUUGCCGAUCCUUGACGUGAUAAGAUGUUUCUACGUUUUGGACUUGGCACUGUGCCCGCUUCCAACCGUCCCAGGGACAACGAUGGUGCUUCGGUCAUCGCCAUUCACACUGGCGGGAGGCUGGACCCACAAAAAAAAACCUUGACCUCAAAUCGGGUGAGACUACCCGCUGAACUUAA